This 499-nucleotide ribosomal RNA is filed under the name uncultured bacterium. RNAcentral's name for it is "partial 16S ribosomal RNA". It matches the Rfam family "Bacterial small subunit ribosomal RNA", at positions 28 to 507 of the family's 1533-position model. The record is from RNAcentral.
GACGAACGCUGGCGGCGUGCUUAACACAUGCAAGUCGAACGGGCCUGUCUUCUUUUUUUGGGGUGGGUUGAGUGGCGAACGGGUGAGUAUCACGUGAGUAACCUGCCCUUCGGUCCUGGAUAACCGCUUGAAAGGGCGGCUAAUACGGGGUGGUCCGGUUGGUCCGCAUGGGCUGGUCGGGAUAGAUUCACUGUUUUUGGUGUUUCGGCGGGGGAUGGGCUCGCGGCCUAUCAGCUUGUUGGUGGGGGGAUGGCCUACCAAGGCGGUGACGGGUAGCCGGCCUGAGGGGGUGGGCGGCCACACGGGGACUGAGAUACGGCCCAGACUCCUGCGGGAGGCAGCAGUGGGGGGUAUGGCACAAUGGGCGGAAGCCUGAUGCAGCGACGUCGCGUGAGGGAUGGAGGCCUUCGGGUUGUGAACCUCUGUUUCCGGUGGUGAAGGCCCUGUCCGUGUGGUGGGGUUGACGGUAGCCGGGGAUGAAGCGCCGGCUAACUACGUG